GACCGAAUGCCCGAGUGGCCAGGGAGCGGACUGCAACUCCGCGCACCGGGUUCGGAUCCCCGUUCGGUCUC
Molecule: transfer RNA, 71 nt
Filed under: Micromonospora sp. MH33
Lineage: Bacteria; Bacillati; Actinomycetota; Actinomycetes; Micromonosporales; Micromonosporaceae
Description: tRNA-Cys
Source: RNAcentral